Molecule: ribosomal RNA, 161 nt
Filed under: Tuber melanosporum Mel28
Lineage: Eukaryota; Fungi; Ascomycota; Pezizomycetes; Pezizales; Tuberaceae
Description: 5.8S ribosomal RNA
Rfam family: 5.8S ribosomal RNA
About the family: 5.8S ribosomal RNA (5.8S rRNA) is a component of the large subunit of the eukaryotic ribosome. It is transcribed by RNA polymerase I as part of the 45S precursor that also contains 18S and 28S rRNA. Functionally, it is thought that 5.8S rRNA may be involved in ribosome translocation.
Source: RNAcentral
AACUUUCAACAACGGAUCUCUUGGCUCUCGCAUCGAUGAAGAACGCAGCGAAAUGCGAUAGGUAAUGUGAAUUGCAGAAUUCAGUGAAUCACUCGUCAAUCUUUGAUUACGCAUCAUGUGCGCCCUUUGGUAUUCCUUAGGGCAUGCCUGUUCGAGCGUCA